UACUGUAGGGUGCAAGCGUUGUCCGGAAUUAUUGGGCGUAAAGAGCUCGUAGGCGGUCUGUCGCGUCGGCUGUGAAAACUCGGGGCUCAACUCCGAGCUUGCAGUCGAUACGGGCAGGCUAGAGUUCGGCAGGGGAGACUGGAAUUCCUGGUGUAGCGGUGAAAUGCGCAGAUAUCAGGAGGAACACCGGUGGCGAAGGCGGGUCUCUGGGCCGAUACUGACGCUGAGGAGCGAAAGCGUGGGGAGCGAACAGG
This 254-nucleotide ribosomal RNA is filed under the name uncultured bacterium. RNAcentral's name for it is "partial 16S ribosomal RNA". It matches the Rfam family "Bacterial small subunit ribosomal RNA", at positions 523 to 776 of the family's 1533-position model. The record is from RNAcentral.